RNAcentral lists this ribosomal RNA (329 nucleotides) under uncultured eukaryote. Its description in RNAcentral is "partial 18S ribosomal RNA". It matches the Rfam family "Eukaryotic small subunit ribosomal RNA", at positions 1470 to 1796 of the family's 1831-position model. The record is from RNAcentral.
CCCUUAGAUGUUCUGGGCCGCACGCGCGCUACACUGACGAUGGCAACGAGUUUUUCCUUCGCCGAAAGGUGUGGGUAAUCUUUUGAAACAUCGUCGUUCUGGGGAUAGAUCAUUGCAAUUUUUGAUCUUGAACGAGGAAUUCCUAGUAAGCGCGAGUCAUCAGCUCGCGUUGAUUACGUCCCUGCCCUUUGUACACACCGCCCGUCGCUACUACCGAUUGAAUGGUUUAGUGAGGACUCCUGAUUGGCGCCGCCGCCCCGGCAACGGAGCAGCGGACUGCCGAAAAGUUGUUCAAACUUGAUCAUUUAGAGGAAGUAAAAGUCGUAACA